This 352-nucleotide long non-coding RNA is filed under the name Nicotiana benthamiana. RNAcentral describes it as "long non-coding RNA (NBEN_LNC029943)". Lineage: Eukaryota; Viridiplantae; Streptophyta; Magnoliopsida; Solanales; Solanaceae. The record is from RNAcentral.
GAGAAGCAAGAAAGAGCUCGUGGAUCAAACGCUGCAAAUUCCUCCACAAGUUUCAACCUUCAAGUUGAAGUUCAAGAAAUCAAGUUCAAGCUCAAGAACGAAGAAGAAAUCAAGUUCGAGCUCAAGAACGAAGAACAAAACAAGGUCAAGUUCAAGCAAUCAAGCUCAAGCUCAAGAACAAGAUAAUCAUUCGCGACAAUAAACAUAGAUUCAAGAUCAAGCUCAGAAGCCCUUGAAUUUAUUUACUAUUGGAAAGAAGAAUCAGAGGAUCCAUAGAGAUUGUAACACUCAAAUAUUCGAAAUAAAAUACUACGACUGUUGCGAUAUUUUUCGGUCUUGAUUUUAUUUUCUC